This 30-nucleotide non-coding RNA is filed under the name Rattus norvegicus (Norway rat). Lineage: Eukaryota; Metazoa; Chordata; Mammalia; Rodentia; Muridae. The record is from RNAcentral.
UAGAACAAUUAUGAGCCUUACACUUAGUGU